GACAUUUGCAGGGCUGGCAUGAUUGGAGUCUUGUGGUGAGCCCUGUGGGGGCUGGGGAGGCUGCAGGUGCCCCUCCCCGACCAGUGCGUGAUAGAAAGCUGGCUCUUCAGGUGGGGGCCUGGCCUAGAACUGGGUUCCCGGAGCUUGGUGUGUGCUGGGGGUUCUCCCCAGACCUAAAUGGUGGUAGGCAGUUGGGUGAGUCCAUCUCUCUGGUCCUUUCUAGCACAGGCGUGUGGGGCUAGGCAGCAGCCUCCAUGACUAUGCAUGGACACACAAGCCUCCUGGCUCCCUGGGAGGAGUCUCGUGGCUAGAAAUGGAACCUCCAGAUUUCUUGGGGCAACAUUCUAGAUCCCCUGACUUCAGCUCUGUAAGGUCAUGGGUAAGCCUGAAGCAGGUUCUGACGCAUUCGAUCCUGCAAUAAGUCUGUGAAAUGGGGAGCCAGCCAUGGCGCUGUGGUUGUGAGUAACAGAAGCCCCCAACUCAACUGGCCAUACGGAAGCAGAGAAGCACCUGACUCAUCAGCCUACGGCAGGAUUCCCAGUCAGCGAGGCAGCUGCUCAGGUAACAGAGUCCCCAACUCCAAAUGGCUUAAACAAUGAAAAACUGCAUCUAUUGCCUCAGCAGCAAUGUUCAGUAACAUGGGACCCCACCUCCCUGGCCAUAGCUGAUUGGACCAGAGGGAAGCUGCACCCAGGGCAGCCAAUCAGUGGCCGGGCAAGCAGCCAAUGGGAUGUUCUGGAGGGGGAGUUCGCCCAAUCAGGGUUCCGGGGAAGUCCACUCUGGGUCUCUCUCUGGAAUUUGAGUCAGAGAUUUGGAAGGAGUAUGGGGCAAUAUGUAAAGGAGCAGAAGACGAAAGCCACACCACAGGGAGGGAGGGAGGUGCCGGCAGCAUCAGCCUGGAGAGGAGUCGGCCAUCUUUGAAACCACGAAUAGAAGAUUCUCUGUCCUCAGAGCCCCCGAGUUUCUCAGCCAAGGGAGACCAUCCAAACACUAUAGCGGCUGAGGAUGCAGUCAUUGGAAUCCACCAUCUACUCCGUUGCCAUGGUGAUGAAAACCUGGACCCAGCGGAAAGUUCUCUGUGCUCUUGGCAACGAGGCUGCGGCACCCUGCCUCCCGCCCGCCCGCCUGUGUGUGGGCGGCCAGCUCGGCUGCUGCCAGGAUUCGGGGCCAGCGCUGCCUCUCCGUGAGACCCAGCCCUUCCCCCACGGAAUCUAGCGUGGGAGCCCCGGCGUGUCCAGUGCCAAGGGCCCUCAGAGAAUUUCUGGCCUCUUCCAAUUUACAGAGCCUGGAAGAGAAGUCCUGGCUGAAUCACAGGAACAAGCCAUGAGGGCAUUCCUUCCCCCAGACCAUCCACCAAACAUUCAUUUCAUUAAUAAAUUCCUUUUUUUUACAACCAAAA
Microcebus murinus (gray mouse lemur) is the source of this 1399-nucleotide non-coding RNA. Lineage: Eukaryota; Metazoa; Chordata; Mammalia; Primates; Cheirogaleidae. The record is from RefSeq and is a predicted model, not a curated record.